Molecule: ribosomal RNA, 478 nt
Filed under: uncultured bacterium
Lineage: Bacteria
Description: partial 16S ribosomal RNA
Rfam family: Bacterial small subunit ribosomal RNA
Source: RNAcentral
GACGAACGCUGGCGGCGUGCUUAACACAUGCAAGUCGAACGGUAAGGCCCUUCGGGGUACACGAGUGGCGAACGGGUGAGUAACACGUGGGUGAUCUGCCCUGCACUUCGGGAUAAGCCUGGGAAACUGGGUCUAAUACCGGAUAGGACCACUGCCUGCAUGGGUGGUGGUGGAAAGCUUUUGCGGUGUGGGAUGGGCCCGCGGCCUAUCAGCUUGUUGGUGGGGUGAUGGCCUACCAAGGCGACGACGGGUAGCCGGCCUGAGAGGGUGACCGGGCACACGUGGACUGAGAUACGGCCCAGACUCCUACGGGAGGCAGCAGUGGGGAAUAUUGCACAAUGGGCGCAAGCCUGAUGCAGCGACGCCGCGUGAGGGAGGACGGCCUUCGGGUUGUAAACCUCGUUCAGCACCGACGAAGCGCAAGUGACGGUAGGUGCAGAAGAAGGACCGGCCAACUACGUGCCAGCAGCCGCAGUAA